CAUGGAUGGACCUGCGGUGCAUUAGCUAGUUGGUGAGGUAACGGCCCACCAAGGCGACGAUGCAUAGCCGGCCUGAGAGGGCGGACGGCCACAUUGGGACUGAGACACGGCCCAAACUCCUACGGGAGGCAGCAUG
RNAcentral lists this ribosomal RNA (136 nucleotides) under uncultured bacterium. RNAcentral describes it as "partial 16S ribosomal RNA". It matches the Rfam family "Bacterial small subunit ribosomal RNA", at positions 220 to 353 of the family's 1533-position model. The record is from RNAcentral.